UACAGAGGGGGCGAGCGUUUAUUCGGAAUUAUUGGGCGUAAAGGGCGCGUAGGCGGCCUUUCAAGUGACGGGUGAAAUCCCUCGGCUUAACCGAGGAACUGCCUGUCAGACUGGAAGGCUUGAGACCGGGAGAGGUGAGUGGAACUGCGAGUGUAGAGGUGAAAUUCGUAGAUAUUCGCAAGAACACCAGUGGCGAAGGCGGCUCACUGGCCCGGUACUGACGCUGAGGUGCGAAAGCGUGGGGAGCAAACAGG
RNAcentral lists this ribosomal RNA (254 nucleotides) under uncultured bacterium. RNAcentral describes it as "partial 16S ribosomal RNA". It matches the Rfam family "Bacterial small subunit ribosomal RNA", at positions 524 to 776 of the family's 1533-position model. The record is from RNAcentral.